GUAGCAGGAAGUGCUUGCACUUUGCUGACGAGUGGCGGACGGGUGAGUAGUACUUAGGAACAUGCCUUUGUGUGGGGGAUAACCAUUGGAAACGAUGGCUAAUACCGCAUAAUGUCUUUGGACCAAAGAGGGCUUUCGGGCUCUCGCGCAAAGAGUGGCCUAAGUGAGAUUAGCUUGUUGGUGAGGUAAAGGCUCACCAAGGCGACGAUCUCUAGCUGUUCUGAGAGGAAGAUCAGCCACACUGGGACUGAGACACGGCCCAGACUCCUACGGGAGGCAGCAGUGGGGAAUAUUGCACAAUGGGGGCAACCCUGAUGCAGCCAUGCCGCGUGUGUGAAGAAGGCCUUCGGGUUGUAAAGCACUUUCAGUUGUGAGGAAAGGUUGGUGGUUAAUACCCAUCAGCUGUGACGUUAGCAACAGAAGAAGCACCGGCUAACUCCGUGCCAGCAGCCGCGGUAAUACGGAGGGUGCGAGCGUUAAUCGGAAUUACUGGGCGUAAAGCGCACGCAGGCGGUUAUAUAAGCUAGAUGUGAAAGCCCCGGGCUCAACCUGGGAAUAGCAUUUAGAACUGUAUGACUAGAGUCUUGGAGAGGGGAGUGGAAUUCCAGGUGUAGCG
This 616-nucleotide ribosomal RNA is filed under the name uncultured bacterium. RNAcentral describes it as "bacterial SSU rRNA". It matches the Rfam family "Bacterial small subunit ribosomal RNA", at positions 69 to 680 of the family's 1533-position model. The record is from RNAcentral.